RNAcentral lists this ribosomal RNA (253 nucleotides) under uncultured bacterium. RNAcentral describes it as "partial 16S ribosomal RNA". It matches the Rfam family "Bacterial small subunit ribosomal RNA", at positions 524 to 776 of the family's 1533-position model. The record is from RNAcentral.
UACGAAGGGGGCUAGCGUUGCUCGGAAUCACUGGGCGUAAAGCGCACGUAGGCGGAUCUUUAAGUCAGGGGUGAAAUCCCAAGGCUCAACCUUGGAACUGCCUUUGAUACUGGGGAUCUCGGGUCCGGAAGAGGUUGGUGGAACUCCGAGUGUAGAGGUGAAAUUCGUAGAUAUUCGGAAGAACACCAGUGGCGAAGGCGGCCAACUGGUCCGGCACUGACGCUGAGGUGCGAAAGCGUGGGGAGCAAACAGG